GAGAGGAAAGACAAGCUGAAAUUGCUAAUCUUGCCCGUGAAAAAGCUACUUUGUGCCAAAGACUAAGUGAUUCAGAGGCAACUACAAGCCGUCUUAAGGCUGAUAUGAAGGCCGAGAUAGAUCAGUUUGCUCGAGAAAAGAAGGAUUUCUCUGAGCAGAUACUUGAGCUUGAGAAUCAACUCGAAUGGGUCCGAUCAGAAAAAGACGAGGAAAUCGGAAAACUUGUUGCUGACCGAAGAGUUCUCCAGGACCGCCUUCAUGAUGCAG
RNAcentral lists this unclassified non-coding RNA (267 nucleotides) under Hevea brasiliensis (rubber tree). Lineage: Eukaryota; Viridiplantae; Streptophyta; Magnoliopsida; Malpighiales; Euphorbiaceae. The record is from RNAcentral.